ACGGAAGGCAGCAGUGGGGAAUAUUGCACAAUGGGGGAAACCCUGAUGCAGCGACGCCGCGUGAGUGAAGAAGUAUUUCGGUAUGUAAAGCUCUAUCAGCAGGAAAGAAAAUGACGGUACCUGACUAAGAAGCCCCGGCUAACUACGUGCCAGCAGCCGCGGUAAUACGUAGGGGGCAAGCGUUAUCCGGAUUUACUGGGUGUAAAAGGAGCGUAGACGGCUUUGCAAGUCUGAAGUGAAAGCCCGGGGCUCAACCCCGGAACUGCUUUGGAAACUGUAGAGCUAGAGUGCAGGAGAGGUAAGUGGAAUUCCUAGUGUAGCGGUGAAAUGCGUAGAUAUUAGGAGGAACACCAGUGGCGAAGGCGGCUUACUGGACUGUAACUGACGUUGAGGCUCGAAGGCGUGGGGAGCAAACAGGAUUAGAUACCCUGGUA
Molecule: ribosomal RNA, 434 nt
Filed under: uncultured Lachnospiraceae bacterium
Lineage: Bacteria; Bacillati; Bacillota; Clostridia; Lachnospirales; Lachnospiraceae
Description: partial 16S ribosomal RNA
Rfam family: Bacterial small subunit ribosomal RNA
Source: RNAcentral